UGGGAGCCCAAACUCCUUAGCUGGAACUAUUACCACUUUCCUCCGGGCCCCUGCCCUGAGGGAAGAGGUGGACCCCAGGAGUGCUCACGACACCCAACCAGAGGUGGAAAACAGAUUCCAUAGCCCCAUUAGAUUUACGGGCUGAGGUUACGUCUCUACAGCAUGAGAGGAAAAGAACACUGUGACCUAGAGUUCCUGUUCCAGAAGCACCUAUGGGAAGAGGCUUCGACUGCAGCAGGAAGUUUUGAGCCAGAGCCUCCAGGGGAUAGUGAAAAGAGCUUUGGAGGCAAACACUUUU
This 298-nucleotide long non-coding RNA is filed under the name Ictidomys tridecemlineatus (thirteen-lined ground squirrel). RNAcentral's name for it is "lncRNA (ENSSTOG00000029321.1)". Lineage: Eukaryota; Metazoa; Chordata; Mammalia; Rodentia; Sciuridae. The record is from RNAcentral.